Molecule: long non-coding RNA, 259 nt
Organism: Temnothorax curvispinosus
Lineage: Eukaryota; Metazoa; Arthropoda; Insecta; Hymenoptera; Formicidae
Exons: 2
Source: RefSeq, a predicted model, not a curated record
AGUUAGAUUAGCGCGUGUCGGUUUCAGUUCUGGACAUCAUGGUACUUUACCUGGUUCUAAGAUAGCAAGCAUGAUGUUCCGAGUCUCGAUCAUUCAAAUUAAGUAUCCAUCAUUGUGAAAUACACCUGACUGAGAGACUACCAAUAUACAUGUUGCACAUGUUGUACAUUGAGACCUUCUUUUCACGAACCAAUUAUAAGUAUUGUAGUUAUAUAAGUUUUUCUGUAUAAAUAUAUCUCUUCUAUUAUUUUUGUGUAAA